UGCCUUACCAUGCAGUCGAACGGUAACAGGUCUUCGGAUGCUGACGAGUGGCGAACGGGUGAGUAAUACAUCGGAACGUGCCUAGUAGUGGGGGAUAACUACUCGAAAGAGUGGCUAAUACCGCAUGAGAUCUACGGAUGAAAGCAGGGGAUCGCAAGACCUUGUGCUACUAGAGCGGCCGAUGGCAGAUUAGGUAGUUGGUGGGAUAAAAGCUUACCAAGCCGACGAUCUGUAGCUGGUCUGAGAGGACGAUCAGCCACACUGGGACUGAGACACGGCCCAGACUCCUACGGGAGGCAGCAGUGGGGAAUUUUGGACAAUGGGCGCAAGCCUGAUCCAGCAAUGCCGCGUGCAGGAUGAAGGCCUUCGGGUUGUAAACUGCUUUUGUACGGAACGAAAAGCCCUUGGUUAAUACCCUGGGGUCAUGACGGUACCGUAAGAAUAAGCACCGGCUAACUACGUGCCAGC
RNAcentral lists this ribosomal RNA (468 nucleotides) under uncultured bacterium. Its description in RNAcentral is "bacterial SSU rRNA". It matches the Rfam family "Bacterial small subunit ribosomal RNA", at positions 45 to 512 of the family's 1533-position model. The record is from RNAcentral.